This is an RNA transcript of Phragmites australis (common reed), 670 nucleotides long. It is a transcript of the gene named small ribosomal subunit protein eS30z/eS30y/eS30x-like, with no coding region annotated. The transcript has 3 exons. Lineage: Eukaryota; Viridiplantae; Streptophyta; Magnoliopsida; Poales; Poaceae. The record is from RefSeq and is a predicted model, not a curated record.
CAAUUCUCAGCCUCACCCAAAAAUCCCCACGCAUAUAAUGCUCAGACCCCUCGCCUAGGGCUUCCUAGUCCCUCCACAGCCGCCGCCGCCUCUCCUUCCGCGCCCUCGCCUCCGAAGCCGCCGCCGCGACACCACUUCGCCGCCAUGGGUAAGGUGCACGGAUCGCUUGCUCGUGCCGGGAAGGUGCGCGGCCAGACGCCCAAGGUGGCGAAGCAGGAUAAGAAGAAAAGGCCGCGUGGCCGCGCGCACAAGAGGAUGCAGUACAACCGCCGCUUCGUCACCGCCGUCGUGGGAUUUGGCAAGAAGCGCGGGCCCAACUCCUCCGAGAAGUAGGGAGCGCGCGGCCCCUGCCUCGUCGGGUUCCUCCUCUCCGUUCUUGAUAUGCCUGUAGCUUCGUGUUAAGGUGGCGUGAAUCUUAGUCGAAAUUUGGCACCACAGUUUCUUGGAUAAUAUGAUGAGUCCUAUCCAGUGUCUGACUGGAGCGCUGCAAGCAUCCUGUUCCAACUAGGGAAUACUUGAUUUAUGCACAUGUUCUGCACCUGGUUGCAGUACACCUGAAACCGAGCCUGCUAUUGCGUUGAAUUGUUGGAUUUGUGAGUUGUAGUUCUAUGGAGUAAAAAUCGCUCAUUGCCGUUAACCAGUUUCAAAUGUAGCUGUUACUGUUAUGAUA